Triticum dicoccoides is the source of this 1498-nucleotide long non-coding RNA. RefSeq lists it as uncharacterized. The transcript is spliced from 5 exons. The record is from RefSeq and is a predicted model, not a curated record. Lineage: Eukaryota; Viridiplantae; Streptophyta; Magnoliopsida; Poales; Poaceae.
GCGCCUCCUUCCUCCUCUUGGAACCUGUGCCGCCGCCCCCGCGCCUCCUUCCGCCUCCUAGCACGUGCGCCGCCGCCGCCGCACCUCCUUGCUUCUCCUGCCAUGCGCGCCGCCGCCCCGACCUUUCCUACCGCACUCUCCUCCCAGGCUCCUGUCGCCGCCCCGCCCACAUCACGACCAGCUCCGGCCACUGCCGCGCCCCCAUCUCCCCCGGCUCCCACACCGCCACGCAUCUCGUCCUGGUGGGGCACCAUAACCGGACCACCCCAGUCCCCAGGUCGUUCAACGCCACCACCCCAGUCCGUUCAUUGCAGCAACACCCUGGAUCCAGCUGCCGCCAUGUCGUUCCCACAACGACGUUCGAUGGAGCACCUCGUCUCUCUCCUGCUGCAGGGAGGCCCAACUACUGCACUGUGGAGGGUACUGCCGGAGAUAAGUAGUAGGCGGCAAAGUGUUUUGAGGCAGCAAACAAGACGAGGCAUAAAGAUGACGGGCAGCGCCAAGCCGUUCGAUGCCGCAGCUUGGGAGGCCGCCUCCUUUGACAACUCCUGAUCUCCGGAACAGCCAUGGCUCCCUGCCGGCACAACUCGCUGUCGACGACCUCCUUUGACAACUCGCCUUUGAGGCCCACCAGACUCACACGACGAUGCUGGCCGUCCACAGCCAACACCACAGGCCGUUCACAGCCAGCACUCAUGUCCGCUCUCAAAACCACCCCAAAGUGCAGACCGUACAUGAGGACAGGGCAAGUGAUGGACUUGAAGGAUUUCAGUCAAUCAAGCUAGUUGUCGAAAAGGUAGUGUUCGCCGUCGACGGUGCUGCCAUUUGAGUUUAUGGCUCUGCCAUGGAGGCUUCCUGGAAGUUUCUCUGUUUCCAUGUACGGUGUCGGUGUUCCAUGACAGCGGCCGUGACGCGUGAUGUUCCCUGGUUAAGAUUGGUUUACUUUGGCUCUCACAGUAGGAGGACAGGCACGGCGUGCAUUCAGUCUCAGAACCUGAAACUAACCUGACUGAGGUGCCAUUCAGUUUUCAGUGAUAAGCUCCAUUUAUUUACUAGUAGUUUCACCUUAUUUUUUGAAUUAAAAAGAACAAAACUUAACUAGUUUGACCACCGUGUGACCGCCAAGCACAAGGAAGGAAGGGCCACCGUCUGAGGCGACGCGUACAUAUGUACACCCAGGAGUCAGGACAGGACACAACAUCCGACGCGGCGUACGUACUACACUGAGGACUCCCUCGUCACCGAUAAAGACAAGAAGACCGGCAGCAUCCUCAUCCAGGUGUGUACGGCGAGCGGCUAUUGAACUUGUGCGGCUGCUGCUUUUGGAUUGCCCAGGAAGCACAUCAUUAUAGAAGGCAAAAAUUUGUAACAUAUAUGUAACGCCUUGGAUCCGAUGCGCCAAGAGUCCGUCAGUUAUUCGCCGUCGUUGCCAUGUCAUUUGCUUGCGUGUUGCAUUCUGUCAUGUCAUCAUCUGCAUUUCAUCUGCAUGUUUUAAAAA